CCUUACAUUCCAUAGAAAAGUAAACAGCCAGUUUUAUUUCGCCUUCAAUCUCUUCCCAUCGCUGCCACGUGAGAACGUGACGGUGACAUCCAGAGGAAAACAAGGAAAACACCCAGCCUUUCUGGGUGUUUUUAACCGGGUAUAUGUUCCAUAUACUAUCCUGCUACUAUCCUGGUAUUAUGUCCUGAACUGGAGUUAGCAGUUUGCUGCAAAAACUACUCGUGAGAGAAACCGCCCAAGUUUGUGA
Molecule: long non-coding RNA, 247 nt
Organism: Leguminivora glycinivorella
Lineage: Eukaryota; Metazoa; Arthropoda; Insecta; Lepidoptera; Tortricidae
Exons: 3
Source: RefSeq, a predicted model, not a curated record